Molecule: ribosomal RNA, 372 nt
Filed under: uncultured organism
Description: bacterial SSU rRNA
Rfam family: Bacterial small subunit ribosomal RNA
Source: RNAcentral
CGAACCACACGAACGUUAUUCGGAAUCACUGGGCUUAAAGGGUGCGUAGGCGGCGCGGAAAGUAGGGUGUGAAAUCCCUCGGCUCAACCGAGGAACUGCGCCCUAAACUACCGUGCUCGAGGGAGGUAGAGGUGAGCGGAACUUAGGGUGGAGCGGUGAAAUGCGUUGAUAUCCUAAGGAACACCGGCGGCGAAAGCGGCUCACUGGACCUCUUCUGACGCUGAGGCACGAAAGCUAGGGUAGCGAACGGAAUUAGAUACCCCGGUAGUCCUAGCCGUAAACGAUGAGCACUGGACUGGAGGGUCCUCCAUAGCCUUCCGGUCGAAGCGAAAGUGUUAAGUGCUCCGCCUGGGGAGUAUGGUCGCAAGGCUG